CUGUCUCCGGCUUCAACAGUGUUUGGACGGAACAG
This is a non-coding RNA of Microcebus murinus (gray mouse lemur), 35 nucleotides long. NCBI's taxonomy places the organism in Eukaryota, Metazoa, Chordata, Mammalia, Primates, Cheirogaleidae. The record is from Rfam.